GAGAGAGGCCUGAUAGCAACGAAAGCUGCUAACUUUCGCCUCCGUGGUUUGACUCCACGGCUCACUCG
Molecule: transfer RNA, 68 nt
Filed under: Sphyraena pinguis (red barracuda)
Lineage: Eukaryota; Metazoa; Chordata; Actinopteri; Sphyraenidae
Also listed under: 1 other name
Description: tRNA-Ser
Source: RNAcentral